UGUCCAGGUGCGGGAAUCGAACCCACAACCUUCUGCUUACCGGGCAGGUGCCAUGUCCACUAGGCUACCCUGGAC
RNAcentral lists this transfer RNA (75 nucleotides) under Cordylochernes scorpioides. RNAcentral describes it as "tRNA-Thr". The record is from RNAcentral. Lineage: Eukaryota; Metazoa; Arthropoda; Arachnida; Pseudoscorpiones; Chernetidae.